Long non-coding RNA from Gadus macrocephalus (Pacific cod), 823 nucleotides. RefSeq lists it as uncharacterized. NCBI's taxonomy places the organism in Eukaryota, Metazoa, Chordata, Actinopteri, Gadiformes, Gadidae. The record is from RefSeq and is a predicted model, not a curated record. The transcript has 3 exons.
UGUAAAACAACUAACUAAUUUGUAUGUUAAUUUCAGUACGCAAUGUAUUCUACCCUCAAAAGCAAUAUGAUUUCAGUGAGGUGAGUUCUUUCAAAUCUCAAUCAGAUGUGUAGCAUGAAAUAUAAGGCUUUUAAUAAUUUAGUCAUCCUUACUGGAGGCUACAAUUAACAUGCAUCAUAGGUCAUACACAUUACUUUGUCUUCAGGUACUGCACUUACGGGAGGAGAUGGCUACAUCUUCACAAUAAUUUACACUGCCAUAGUACACUGCUAAACAGUACUGUAACAUGGAUUUGUAUUAGGCUAUGAAGUCAUUUAAAGCAUAACUUUACUUUUCAGGGGGACAUGCUCUCUAUCAGGAGGUGGUGGUUGGACAGCUGUUGGAGACCUUUAUACUUGAAAGCCCUGCAGAACUAGCUGGCUCCUUCUCACCCUCUCCAUCUCCCCAUCUCAGUCACACCUUCCAAUCACUAAGCAGUGAAAGCCCUGCAGGACUAGCUGGCACACCAAGCUCACCCUCUGCAUCUCCCCAUCUCAGCCACACGCUCCAAUCUGGCACAACAGAGGACAGGCCAUUCUUACCACCCGAAGUCCUUCAGCAAAUUGUACAAGAGACGCUGAGACUGGACAUGGCGAUGCUUGGCGUGUUCAACAGGGUUUCAAACACAUUCCGAGAACUAAUCAAGCCUCUCCAUCCUUCCAUAUAUAUAAAUGACAGUUUGGCAGGGGACAUUAAGCUUAAUAAAGACAAUCUCAUAUACAUAACGGUUAGAAAGAUUUACAACAAUGCAGGCUGUGGCAGUGGCCUUGCGCUACGCCUCAAA